UUAAGCGACUAAGCGUACACGGUGGAUGCCCUGGCAGUCAGAGGCGAUGAAGGACGUGCUAAUCUGCGAAAAGCGUCGGUAAGGUGAUAUGAACCGUUACAGCCGGCGAUGUCCGAAUGGGGAAACCCAGUGCAAUUCGUUGCACUAUCGUUAACUGAAUACAUAGGUUAACGAGGCGAACCGGGGGAACUGAAACAUCUAAGUACCCCGAGGAAAAGAAAUCAACCGAGAUUCCCCCAGUAGCGGCGAGCGAACGGGGAGCAGCCCAGAGUCUGAAUCAGCUUGUGUGUUAGUGGAACGGUCUGGAAAGUCCGACGGUACAGGGUGAUAGUCCCGUACACCAAAAUGCACAGGCUGUGAACUCGAAGAGUAGGGCGGGACACGUGGUAUCCUGUCUGAAUAUGGGGGGACCAUCCUCCAAGGCUAAAUACUCCUGACUGACCGAUAGUGAACCAGUACCGUGAGGGAAAGGCGAAAAGAACCCCGGCGAGGGGAGUGAAAAAGAACCUGAAACCGUGUACGUACAAGCAGUGGGAGCACCUUCGGGUGUGACUGCGUACCUUUUGUAUAAUGGGUCAGCGACUUAUAUUCUGUAGCAAGGUUAACCGUAUAGGGGAGCCGCAGGGAAACCGAGUCUUAACUGGGCGUUAAGUUGCAGGGUAUAGACCCGAAACCCGGUGAUCUAGCCAUGGGCAGGUUGAAGGUUGGGUAACACUAACUGGAGGACCGAACCGACUAAUGUUGAAAAAUUAGCGGAUGACUUGUGGCUGGGGGUGAAAGGCCAAUCAAACCGGGAGAUAGCUGGUUCUCCCCGAAAGCUAUUUAGGUAGCGCCUCGUGAACUCAUCUUCGGGGGUAGAGCACUGUUUCGGCUAGGGGGUCAUCCCGACUUACCAACCCGAUGCAAACUACGAAUACCGAAGAAUGUUAUCACGGGAGACACACGGCGGGUGCUAACGUCCGUCGUGAAGAGGGAAACAACCCAGACCGCCAGCUAAGGUCCCAAAGUCAUGGUUAAGUGGGAAACGAUGUGGGAAGGCACAGACAGCCAGGAUGUUGGCUUAGAAGCAGCCAUCAUUUAAAGAAAGCGUAAUAGCUCACUGGUCGAGUCGGCCUGCGCGGAAGAUGUAACGGGGCUAAACCAUGCACCGAAGCUGCGGCAGCGACACUAUGUGUUGUUGGGUAGGGGAGCGUUCUGUAAGCCUGCGAAGGUGACCUGUGAGGGUUGCUGGAGGUAUCAGAAGUGCGAAUGCUGACAUAAGUAACGAUAAAGCGGGUGAAAAGCCCGCUCGCCGGAAGACCAAGGGUUCCUGUCCAACGUUAAUCGGGGCAGGGUGAGUCGACCCCUAAGGCGAGGCCGAAAGGCGUAGUCGAUGGGAAACAGGUUAAUAUUCCUGUACUUGGUGUUACUGCGAAGGGGGGACGGAGAAGGCUAUGUUAGCCGGGCGACGGUUGUCCCGGUUUAAGCAUGUAGGCUGAUUGUCCAGGCAAAUCCGGAUAAUCAAGGCUGAGGUGUGAUGACGAGGCACUACGGUGCUGAAGUAACAAAUGCCCUGCUUCCAGGAAAAGCCUCUAAGCAUCAGGUAACAUNAAAUCGUACCCCAAACCGACACAGGUGGUCAGGUAGAGAAUACCAAGGCGCUUGAGAGAACUCGGGUGAAGGAACUAGGCAAAAUGGUGCCGUAACUUCGGGAGAAGGCACGCUGGUGUGUAGGUGAAGUCCCUGCGGAUGGAGCUGAGACCAGUCGAAGAUACCAGCUGGCUGCAACUGUUUAUUAAAAACACAGCACUGUGCAAACACGAAAGUGGACGUAUACGGUGUGACGCCUGCCCGGUGCCGGAAGGUUAAUUGAUGGGGUUAUCCGUAAGGAGAAGCUCUUGAUCGAAGCCCCGGUAAACGGCGGCCGUAACUAUAACGGUCCUAAGGUAGCGAAAUUCCUUGUCGGGUAAGUUCCGACCUGCACGAAUGGCGUAAUGAUGGCCAGGCUGUCUCCACCCGAGACUCAGUGAAAUUGAACUCGCUGUGAAGAUGCAGUGUACCCGCGGCAAGACGGAAAGACCCCGUGAACCUUUACUAUAGCUUGACACUGAACAUUGAGCCUUGAUGUGUAGGAUAGGUGGGAGGCUUUGAAGCGUGGACGCCAGUCUGCGUGGAGCCAACCUUGAAAUACCACCCUUUAAUGUUUGAUGUUCUAACGUUGGCCCCUGACCGGGGUUGCGGACAGUGUCUGGUGGGUAGUUUGACUGGGGCGGUCUCCUCCCAAAGCGUAACGGAGGAGCACGAAGGUUAGCUAAUCCUGGUCGGACAUCAGGAGGUUAGUGCAAUGGCAUAAGCUAGCUUGACUGCGAGCGUGACGGCGCGAGCAGGUGCGAAAGCAGGUCAUAGUGAUCCGGUGGUUCUGAAUGGAAGGGCCAUCGCUCAACGGAUAAAAGGUACUCCGGGGAUAACAGGCUGAUACCGCCCAAGAGUUCAUAUCGACGGCGGUGUUUGGCACCUCGAUGUCGGCUCAUCACAUCCUGGGGCUGAAGUAGGUCCCAAGGGUAUGGCUGUUCGCCAUUUAAAGUGGUACGCGAGCUGGGUUUAGAACGUCGUGAGACAGUUCGGUCCCUAUCUGCCGUGGGCGCUGGAGAAUUGAGGGGGGCUGCUCCUAGUACGAGAGGACCGGAGUGGACGCAUCACUGGUGUUCGGGUUGUCAUGCCAAUGGCACUGCCCGGUAGCUAAAUGCGGAAGAGAUAAGUGCUGAAAGCAUCUAAGCACGAAACUUGCCCCGAGAUGAGUUCUCCCUGAGACUUUAAGUCUCCUGAAGGAACGUU
This 2814-nucleotide ribosomal RNA is filed under the name Klebsiella pneumoniae. Its description in RNAcentral is "bacterial LSU rRNA". It matches the Rfam family "Bacterial large subunit ribosomal RNA". Lineage: Bacteria; Pseudomonadati; Pseudomonadota; Gammaproteobacteria; Enterobacterales; Enterobacteriaceae. The record is from RNAcentral.